This 274-nucleotide ribosomal RNA is filed under the name Armadillo officinalis (oak-woodland pillbug). RNAcentral's name for it is "partial small subunit ribosomal RNA". The record is from RNAcentral. Lineage: Eukaryota; Metazoa; Arthropoda; Malacostraca; Isopoda; Armadillidae.
CCCCCGCCGCUGGUCGCAUUCGUACUUCCACUUUUAGUGCCGCUACCACUACUCUUUUCAUUUCCGGAACUCGCGCUUCACUGGCGACCGAACCCUUCCGGGAGACGACGGAUGAGAGAAGGAGACGAGAGAAGGGAACGAGCAGUGACUACUCGCGACCGACCCCCACCCCUCGACCUCUCGCCGCCGCGGCCGCCGAACGAGAAAGCGGGAGAGACGCCUUAGACCCCUUAGGCGCCGGCGCUCCCGUCCGGAGACGAGGGCGAGCCUCGGG